This is a non-coding RNA of Schistosoma curassoni, 45 nucleotides long. Lineage: Eukaryota; Metazoa; Platyhelminthes; Trematoda; Strigeidida; Schistosomatidae. The record is from Rfam.
AUGCAACUAACGAGUUUCAAAUAGAACGAAACGCGCGUCCCGGAU